CACAAGGAUAUGCAUUCUCUCCCCUUUCCCACUUCAGCUGACUGAGUGAACAGCUGUGUAGUACUUAGCUGCCUUCUGUAGGGUUAAACCACAACAGCUACUGAUACCUAUACUGCCAUAUGCUUCUCAUAACGCACACACAAAAGAAUUACAAAAAGGACUACGCACUCCUCAUACUCCUCAUCUUGAUCUUGUGUUCAGCUUGUAAAGUUCACUUCAAUCUGUUUGAGCAUAGGACAAACCAAAAGCCAUGUGUCCCAUCUCCACUGAAUUGAUGUGUAAGAGGUCAGAAAGAGCAACAGCUUUUUGAAGAUUGAUUAAUAAAGAACAUGAUGAUGAGCCUAAGUUCAUAUUCUCCCAAAGAAGUUGGCAGCCUGUGUCCUGGACAAGUACACUCUUUGCUGGGUCAAGAACUGGCUGGAUGGCUGGGUCCAGAGAGUGGUGGGGUGUUGGACUAGAUGACCUUUAAAAGAUCCUUCCAAUUUAAAUGAUUCUAUGAUUCUAUGAAGCUAUAUUAGAAUGUAACUGUAAGAGACUAUUCUUUUAUAUCAUUGACUCAAAGUUUGCUGAGGAACAAGUCCAGGCAAGUCCUGGGCAAAGGCAGAGAAAUCUUUUGUCUUGAGGACACUGAUGGACAGGUCCUGGCUAAGGAUUGUGAAAUCCUCUAAGGAGCACAGAUGGACAAGGCCAGGGGCAACGAGAGAGAGAUAAGCUGCUGCUAAUGGCCGGGAAGCGGUCUUUUUGUGUGGACUUAUCUCAAGGAAAAUGGCCAUCUCAGGAGGUAUGCACAGGACUCUUGCUCAAGCACCCAGGAAUGUCACGUAGGCAGCAGAAAAUGGAGGAUAAAAGAAGGUCCAAUAACCACAACGGUGGAAGCUGAUCCUCCACCACAACCACGGCAACGGGAGAGGCUUAUCUCUCACCACGACAGACUUGAGGGGUUCUCUGCCAUCUGAUCCUUCACCACAACGUGGAGACUGAUCUCUACGCGGAGACUGAUCUCUCACCGCAAUGUGGAGGCUGAUCUCUCACCGCAACACAGAGGCUGAUCUCUCAUGAUCUCUCACCACGACACGAGCUUCCUGCCUUCAGAUCCUUCUCUGCUGACGGACUUCCCUGGGCCUGCUACCUGAGACCUGCUGCUUCCUCCCUGACCUGCACCCUCUCGUUGCCCAAGACCGGCCUCGCUGCUCCUGCCCUUCGGCCUCGGACUGUCGGAACAUUGUGUAACGGGACUGCUGCCGGAUCCUGGUGGUGACUAUCCCCGCUUUAGGCAAUUCUUGCCUCUUUCUAUCUUUUCUAUCGCUCGCCUUCCCUUCCCCAUCACCCCAAUCCUUAAUAGUGUCCGUCCUCCCCUUUCCCCAUCUCCCUUAUUAACAUUUGUAAUAAACUGGUCGGA
This 1399-nucleotide long non-coding RNA is filed under the name Gallus gallus (chicken). The record is from RNAcentral. Lineage: Eukaryota; Metazoa; Chordata; Aves; Galliformes; Phasianidae.